AUGGCCAAGCAUGCUAUAGACUACAGCGUGUUUGGGGGGCCUCAAAAAUUUGGAAAGUGGAUGGACGUGCACUCAGCUCCGUCUUACCCUUCUGAGGCGAGGGCACCAGUUGAGCAUCUAAUUGGGCAGUUUGCAUCCGGAAUGACCGACUUGCUCGGGAAGUUGGUUGAGGGGUGGACGUCCCUCAGUGCCUCUGACAGCGACACGGUUGCGAGGCAGUUCACUUCAUUUGUCCCAGAACGUACACAUCGACCAACCAGUUGCCGUGGCUGGUAUGACUACAACAGUUCCCAAGAGCCCGGUGACACACAAGAUAAUGUAGAUGGAGACGCUGGCCUCAGCAAGGAUGACGACGAUGACAUGGAUAAUGUGCAUCAGGACACGGAUGACGAUGAACAUGCUGAAGUUUGCAUAGGCGACAACAAGGGCAAGGAUGCAACAGAUGCCCCCCCACCGGAGAAAGUGAUAGAACAUAUGGCUGAGAGAGGCGAGGGGGUGUUGCCAUCAAAGAGAGGGAGGGCUCCAGAUGAUGUUGGGCAGGGUUCUUAUGGCAAGAGGUCUAGGACCAAUCCCGUAGCUGCCAGGAGGAGGGAGCCGACCGCUGGUGGACGAGCAGUUACAAAGAAACAGGCGCCAAUGCCAACCCGUGUUUCUGCUCGCUUGAACAAAGGUGCCCCCAUUGCCGGUGACACCCCUUCCACUAGGUCUUCUCCUCGUACAACGACGACCAACACCGGGGAUCCUGUCGUGUUGCCAGACCUAAGGAAGCCAGUCAGAAAGGUGAAGAAGACUACUACGCGCGGGGCCAAGCAUAGCAGUAAGGACCCGUUCAAACGCCUACAUUCAAAGUUGUCAAUGGGGGGCAACUCAAAUGUACAUGAGGCACCCGGCGACAACACUGUUGCUGCACCGAUGACUGCUCCCACCAACUCUGAUGCAAGUGGCCGACCAUCUCCGCCGGCUACGGAUGUCCAGGCUAGAACAACAGGCAUCGGUACAUCGGGGAGUGACGAGUCGGUAUCUGCCAGGACAGCUGAAAUAUUGCCAACUCUUCUGGCAAUGAAGGAUGCUGCUGUGAGCCAUGCCACCCCAUCAACAAGUGUUGAAGUGGACGCUCCCGAGACGAACCUAGGCAAGGAAGAUUCCCGCUCUUCCGACACUGAUUCCAAGCGCGUGCGUGGUGGCACACCUGUGUCCACGACAGAAGCCGCUGAGGCGGCAGUUCAUAAGGAUAUGCCAUCUACAGGUGAGAGUCCCGGCACAACAGCUCUAGCCCCUGUCGGUGCAGAUACUGCUAAGGUGACCGUGGCGCAUGCUGGUCUUCCACCUAGGCGUCGCAGCCCCCGCAAGCAACCAACAGUCAUACCCAACGCACCAGUUGUAUCUAGGAGCAGGAGAGACGAGUCUGGGUAUGUUCCUGCGUCCACACUGUUCCCGCCACCCGCCAAAAACAAUGUGAUGGAGAAACCGCAAGACCGGAGCACAAUUGAUGCAGGUGUGAAGCCGGGCACGAGUGACGCAGGUGAACGGCCGGAGCAGACUGUGCCUUUACUCGCAGUGGAAAUCCCCAGCAUAAAUCUGCGCACUUCCAGGCUCCCAGUCAAUGUCGGUGUCCCCUACAGCCCAAACAAGAAGAUUGCCAUGAAAGCUGCUGCUGAUACCGCUGACAACACGCCCCGCCCUGCAAAUAAGCCCGAAUAUUCUGUAGCGGCCGAUUCAGAUAUGUUUGUUGAUCUUUCACCAUUGGAUUCUGCCCCACAAAUCGUUCGUGGUCCGGCCAGUAGGAAUGAGAGGCACCCAAUGGCAUUUACCCCACCGAGCUUCAGCCUUGGCAUCAGUCAAGAUCAACCGAUGGUGCAAGAUCCUUUGCCAGUUGCCUUUGCUUUCCCAGGAGACAUGCCCGCAAUGAUGGCGCAGCCAAUGGUCGAGGGCAGGAAGGCUGUCAAGUUUGUGGAGCCAAUUGUGCAAGGCACCCCUGAGGAAAUUUCACCAUCACUUGACGAAGCUUACCGCAAGAUCGAGGAGGUAGCAUUGUAG
RNAcentral lists this ribosomal RNA (2037 nucleotides) under Triticum aestivum (bread wheat). Its description in RNAcentral is "partial small subunit ribosomal RNA". Lineage: Eukaryota; Viridiplantae; Streptophyta; Magnoliopsida; Poales; Poaceae. The record is from RNAcentral.